AGCGAACGCUGGCGGCAGGCCUAACACAUGCAAGUCGAACGAACUCUUCGGAGUUAGUGGCGGACGGGUGAGUAACACGUGGGAACGUGCAUUUAGGUACGGAAUAAUUCAGGGAAACUUGUGCUAAUACCGAAUGUGCCAUUCGGGGGAAAGAUUUAUCGCCUUUGGGUCGGCCCGCGUCUGUUUAGCCGGUUGGUGAGGUAAAGGCGCACCAAGGGGACGAUCAGUAGCUGGUCUGAUAGGAUGCCCAGCCACAUUGGAACUGAGACACGGCCCAAAAUCGGACGGGACGCAGCAGAGGGGAAUCUUGCGCGAUGGGGGAAAGCCUGACGAAGCCAUGCCGCGUGAAUGAUGAAGGGCGUAGUAUUGUAAAAUUCUUUCACCGGGAGCGAGAAUGACGGUACCCGGAGAAGAAGCCCCGGCUAACUUCGUG
RNAcentral lists this ribosomal RNA (433 nucleotides) under uncultured bacterium. Its description in RNAcentral is "partial 16S ribosomal RNA". It matches the Rfam family "Bacterial small subunit ribosomal RNA", at positions 29 to 507 of the family's 1533-position model. The record is from RNAcentral.